RNAcentral lists this transfer RNA (63 nucleotides) under Thermoprotei archaeon. Its description in RNAcentral is "tRNA-Asn". Lineage: Archaea; Thermoproteati; Thermoproteota; Thermoprotei. The record is from RNAcentral.
GCCGGGGUAGCUCAGCCUGGUAGAGCGCCGGGCUGUUAACCCACGGGUUCGAGGAGCCUGGCA